GGUUAAGUGACUAAGCGUACACGGUGGAUGCCUUGGCAGUCAGAGGCGAUGAAGGACGUAGUAACUUGCGAUAAGCGUAGAUGAGGCAGUAACAGCCACUUGAGUCUACGAUUUCCGAAUGGGGAAACCCACUGGCAUAAGCCAGUAUCAUUGAGUGAAUACAUAGCUCAAUGAAGCGAACCGGGAGAACUGAAACAUCUAAGUACCCCGAGGAAAAGAAAUCAACCGAGAUUCCGAAAGUAGCGGCGAGCGAAAUUGGAUUAGCCCUUAAGCUUUACAUGUGUUAGACGAACGGUCUGGAAAGUCCGACGAUACAGGGUGAUAGUCCCGUAGUUGACGAUGCAUGUUCAGUGAAAUCGAGUAGGGCGGGACACGUGUUAUCCUGUCUGAAUAUGGGGGGACCAUCCUCCAAGGCUAAAUACUCCUGACUGACCGAUAGUGAACCAGUACCGUGAGGGAAAGGCGAAAAGAACCCCUGUGAGGGGAGUGAAAUAGAACCUGAAACCGUGUACGUACAAGCAGUAGGAGCACCUUCGUGGUGUGACUGCGUACCUUUUGUAUAAUGGGUCAGCGACUUAUAUUCAGUGGCAAGGUUAACCAUCUAGGGGAGCCGUAGGGAAACCGAGUCUUAACUGGGCGCCAUAGUCUCUGGAUAUAGACCCGAAACCGAGUGAUCUAGCCAUGGGCAGGUUGAAGGUUGAGUAACAUCAACUGGAGGACCGAACCGACUAAUGUUGAAAAAUUAGCGGAUGACUUGUGGCUAGGGGUGAAAGGCCAAUCAAACUCGGAGAUAGCUGGUUCUCCCCGAAAGCUAUUUAGGUAGCGCCUCGGACGAAUACUACUGGGGGUAGAGCACUGUUAAGGCUAGGGGGUCAUCCCGACUUACCAACCCUUUGCAAACUCCGAAUACCAGUAAGUACUAUCCGGGAGACACACGGCGGGUGCUAACGUCCGUCGUGGAGAGGGAAACAACCCAGACCGCCAGCUAAGGUCCCAAAUUACAGCUAAGUGGGAAACGAUGUGGGAAGGCUUAGACAGCUAGGAUGUUGGCUUAGAAGCAGCCAUCAUUUAAAGAAAGCGUAAUAGCUCACUAGUCGAGUCGGCCUGCGCGGAAGAUGUAACGGGGCUAAGUUGUAAACCGAAGCUGCGGCAAUGUUCUUUGAACAUUGGGUAGGGGAGCGUUCUGUAAGCCGUUGAAGGUGUGUUGUAAAGCAUGCUGGAGGUAUCAGAAGUGCGAAUGCUGACAUGAGUAACGACAAGGGGGGUGAAAAACCUCCCCGCCGGAAGACCAAGGGUUCCUGUCCAACGUUAAUCGGGGCAGGGUA
Molecule: ribosomal RNA, 1325 nt
Filed under: Vibrio vulnificus
Lineage: Bacteria; Pseudomonadati; Pseudomonadota; Gammaproteobacteria; Vibrionales; Vibrionaceae
Description: partial 23S ribosomal RNA
Rfam family: Bacterial large subunit ribosomal RNA
Source: RNAcentral